RNAcentral lists this ribosomal RNA (389 nucleotides) under Pycnococcaceae sp. Its description in RNAcentral is "partial small subunit ribosomal RNA". It matches the Rfam family "Eukaryotic small subunit ribosomal RNA", at positions 582 to 975 of the family's 1831-position model. Lineage: Eukaryota; Viridiplantae; Chlorophyta; Pseudoscourfieldiophyceae; Pseudoscourfieldiales; Pycnococcaceae. The record is from RNAcentral.
AUUCCAGCUCCAAUAGCGUAUAUUUAAGUUGUUGCGGUUAAAAAGCUCGUAGUUGGAUUUCGGGCGUGGAGGUUCGGUCCGCCGUUUCGGUGUGCACUGUCUUUCUGCGUCUUUCUGUCGGGGACGCGCUUCUGGCCUUAAUUGGCUGGGACGUGGAUUCGACGAGGUUACUUUGAAAAAAUUAGAGUGUUCAAAGCAAGCUAAAGCUCUGAAUACAUUAGCAUGGAAUAACGCGAGAGGACUCGGUCCUUAUUUUGUUGGUCUUCAAGGAUGGAGUAAUGAUUAAGAGGGACAGUUGGGGGCAUUCGUAUUUCAUUGCUAGAGGUGAAAUUCUUGGAUUUAUGAAAGACGAACUUCUGCGAAAGCAUUUGCCAAGGAUGUUUUCAUCA